Molecule: non-coding RNA, 306 nt
Organism: Paramisgurnus dabryanus
Lineage: Eukaryota; Metazoa; Chordata; Actinopteri; Cypriniformes; Cobitidae
Source: RefSeq, a predicted model, not a curated record
UCCGAGGACGAAUUAAACAUCCUCGACACAGCUGAAGGUGCAACAAAAGCGAAAGAGGCCGAUUGGAAUGUUAAAAACACCUGAAAACUUUUUUUUCACUACCCUUCAUACUACAGCUGUCGAAAAACCACAGCAACGUCGACAGACCUGGAGGCAUAGCUGUACUUGUUUAACUCACAACGACAACGGGUCAAUUAUGAGUGAAGAACCGUUCACCAAAUGAAGACCGCAGCCAGGUGACGGGAUUCUGUGGUAAUCGCAAACAGGUAAGCACCAUACCGUAAGCUUCAUUCCCUUUAUAACAGG